RNAcentral lists this ribosomal RNA (279 nucleotides) under uncultured bacterium. RNAcentral describes it as "partial 16S ribosomal RNA". It matches the Rfam family "Bacterial small subunit ribosomal RNA", at positions 506 to 784 of the family's 1533-position model. The record is from RNAcentral.
UGCCAGCAGCCGCGGUAAUACGGAAGGUGCAAGCGUUAUCCGGAAUCACUGGGUUUAAAGGGUGCGUAGGCGGUUAGAUAAGUCAGAGGUGAAAGCUCACAGCUUAACUGUGGAAUUGCCUUUGAUACUGUUUAACUUGAAUCAGGUUGAGGUUGGCGGAAUGUGACAUGUAGCGGUGAAAUGCGUAGAUCCUGUCGGGACCACCUGUGGCGAAGGCGGCUUACUGGAACAGAUCCGACGGUCAGGCACGAAAGCUAGGGUAGCAAAGCGGAUUAGAUA